CGAAGUGGAGCGGCGGUGUCUGGUUGGGAGUGGAAUAGGCGGAGGUGGGGAGUGGCGGGGGUGGUGGACUUGAUCGAAGUCUAGCCGAGGAGGGGAGGGGAGAGGUGAGGUGUUGUCGGUACCGACCUCCGACUACCUCUGCAAAAAGUGGAGGGGGUAAAGAUAGGAGGGUAUUUUUAGUUCAGGUGGGUCGGUCUGGGGCAGAGAGUGGUCAAGACCGCCGCCGCACGUCGUGGGCCGCUAGAUUCUUUGUCAUGACGAUCGUCAUCACCGCCUGUUACCGCUCGUCGUCGCGUUCCUCGCCGCUACGCCGACUACCCGCUCGACACCUGGCCCGACGAGCAGCUCGCCACCGCGCACACCUACCGGCUCGCUGUUGCGUCCGACUUCCCAAGAUAAGACGACACCAGAGGAAGAGUACUUCCCAUUUCCUCCACCCUCUAGGUAUAGCGAUCGAAGUAGGUUACAGUUUAGGUACAUGGUUCGUUCGCCGGUUCUUACGGAAGAGGGACGGGCCGAUCUUCAACCUAGGAAGGUUCUCCCUUGGAGAGUCCUAAAAGAUGCUCAGUGACAGGUUUUUCAUGUAUAUACAAAAGUAAGUAGACUAAAAAUUUUUUUAAACUGUCUCCCUUGGAGAGUCUUAAAAGAUGCUCAGUGACGGGUUUUUCUAGGUUAGGUCACUCUACCGGCUGAAGUCCCCCCACCCUUCGUUAUAACCUCCGCCAGACUCAGUACUAUUAUUAGUAAGGUAAUUACUACUACUGCUAUUGUGGAUACUGUAGUUCCGUCCCCUAUAGAGCACGCUAUUUGUAAUACUAGGUAUACCGCUACUUACUCUAUGAUUGAGACCGCUACUACCACUGAUCAAAUUGUUAGAAUAAGUUCCGUGCGUUGUUUCGCUUCAAAACUUCUAACUCCCGUUAAAUCGAAUACGUUUAACGGACUUGGUAAUAUAGUACGUAUCAAUGAUAAAACAAAACGUAAGAUGUAAGGGAUCUACCUAGCGAUCCCAAUUACAUUUAGCAUACCUUGAGUAAUCCGAACAUCAUGAAAGAAUCCAUACGUUUUAUAUUAUAUACAAAAACCCAGUACAUACGAGCACAUUAGAACUCUGGAUAAACUAUACGGUUAUAAGCCUUUGUGUCAAACCACAUAGUGUGAUGACGGAUACCUCGCAUCUU
This 1181-nucleotide ribosomal RNA is filed under the name Triticum aestivum (bread wheat). RNAcentral describes it as "partial small subunit ribosomal RNA". The record is from RNAcentral. Lineage: Eukaryota; Viridiplantae; Streptophyta; Magnoliopsida; Poales; Poaceae.